Molecule: ribosomal RNA, 665 nt
Filed under: uncultured Lachnospiraceae bacterium
Lineage: Bacteria; Bacillati; Bacillota; Clostridia; Lachnospirales; Lachnospiraceae
Description: bacterial SSU rRNA
Rfam family: Bacterial small subunit ribosomal RNA
Source: RNAcentral
AGCACUUUGCUUAGAUUCUUCGGAUGAAGAGGAUUGUGACUGAGCGGCGGACGGGUGAGUAACGCGUGGGUAACCUGCCUCAUACAGGGGGAUAACAGUUAGAAAUGACUGCUAAUACCGCAUAAGACCACAGCACCGCAUGGUGCGGGGGUAAAAACUCCGGUGGUAUGAGAUGGACCCGCGUCUGAUUAGCUGGUUGGUAAGGUAACGGCUUACCAAGGCGACGAUCAGUAGCCGACCUGAGAGGGUGACCGGCCACAUUGGGACUGAGACACGGCCCAAACUCCUACGGGAGGCAGCAGUGGGGAAUAUUGCACAAUGGGGGAAACCCUGAUGCAGCGACGCCGCGUGAGCGAAGAAGUAUUUCGGUAUGUAAAGCUCUAUCAGCAGGGAAGAAAAUGACGGUACCUGACUAAGAAGCACCGGCUAAAUACGUGCCAGCAGCCGCGGUAAUACGUAUGGUGCAAGCGUUAUCCGGAUUUACUGGGUGUAAAGGGAGCGUAGACGGAUGGGCAAGUCUGAUGUGAAAACCCGGGGCUCAACCCCGGGACUGCAUUGGAAACUGUUCAUCUAGAGUGCUGGAGAGGUAAGUGGAAUUCCUAGUGUAGCGGUGAAAUGCGUAGAUAUUAGGAGGAACACCAGUGGCGAAGGCGGCUUACUGGACA